GAAGGUGGCCUGUGAGGGUUGCUGGAGGUAUCAGAAGUGCGAAUGCUGACAUAAGUAACGAUAAAGCGGGUGAAAAGCCCGCUCGCCGGAAGACCAAGGGUUCCUGUCCAACGUUAAUCGGGGCAGGGUGAGUCGACCCCUAAGGCGAGGCCGAAAGGCGUAGUCGAUGGGAAACGGGUUAAUAUUCCCGUACUUGGUGUUACUGCGAAGGGGGGACGGAGAAGGCUAUGUUGGCCGGGCGACGGUUGUCCCGGUUUAAGCGUGUAGGUGUGUGUUCCAGGUAAAUCCGGUUCACUUUAACACUGAGGCGUGAUGACGAGG
This 321-nucleotide ribosomal RNA is filed under the name Salmonella enterica subsp. enterica serovar Kentucky. RNAcentral's name for it is "bacterial LSU rRNA". It matches the Rfam family "Bacterial large subunit ribosomal RNA", at positions 1252 to 1574 of the family's 2925-position model. The record is from RNAcentral. Lineage: Bacteria; Pseudomonadati; Pseudomonadota; Gammaproteobacteria; Enterobacterales; Enterobacteriaceae.